GCCGACAUAGCUCAGCUGGUUAGAGCGCUUGAUUGUGGAUCAAGAGGUCCCCCGUUCGAACCGGGGUGUCGGUACCA
RNAcentral lists this transfer RNA (77 nucleotides) under Maritimibacter dapengensis. Its description in RNAcentral is "Maritimibacter sp. DP4N28-5 tRNA-His". It matches the Rfam family "tRNA". Rfam says of the family: Transfer RNA (tRNA) molecules are approximately 80 nucleotides in length. The record is from RNAcentral. Lineage: Bacteria; Pseudomonadati; Pseudomonadota; Alphaproteobacteria; Rhodobacterales; Roseobacteraceae.